Small nucleolar RNA from Ornithorhynchus anatinus (platypus), 74 nucleotides. RefSeq annotates it as small nucleolar RNA SNORA81. The record is from RefSeq and is a predicted model, not a curated record. The transcript has a single exon. Lineage: Eukaryota; Metazoa; Chordata; Mammalia; Monotremata; Ornithorhynchidae.
UGCACCUCAUCUAAAAAGACUUGGGUGGACCUCUUUCUUAAUGUCCAGUGUCCUGUGUCUGAUGAUCAGGUGCA